RNAcentral lists this small nuclear RNA (21 nucleotides) under Arabidopsis thaliana (thale cress). RNAcentral's name for it is "snRNA_17906". The record is from RNAcentral. Lineage: Eukaryota; Viridiplantae; Streptophyta; Magnoliopsida; Brassicales; Brassicaceae.
UGGGAUGAGCCAAGCCCGUGC